GCAUCAUUGGUGUAGUGGUUAGCAUGGAGUCUUCCCAAGGCUUCGACAUGGGUUCGAAUCCCGUAUGAUGCA
RNAcentral lists this transfer RNA (72 nucleotides) under Fomitiporia mediterranea MF3/22. RNAcentral describes it as "tRNA-Gly (CCC) (tRNA-Gly-CCC-1-1)". It matches the Rfam family "tRNA". From Rfam's summary of the family: Transfer RNA (tRNA) molecules are approximately 80 nucleotides in length. Their secondary structure includes four short double-helical elements and three loops (D, anti-codon, and T loops). The record is from RNAcentral. Lineage: Eukaryota; Fungi; Basidiomycota; Agaricomycetes; Hymenochaetales; Hymenochaetaceae.